GUCCCUACAAAGGACAUGAACUCAUCAUUUUUUAUGGCUGCAUAGUAUUCCAUGGUGUAUAUGUGCCACAUAAAGUUCUUUUCUGCUUAGGCAUUCUAUUGUUCUAUUAUAUCAAUUACUUGGUAUCAUCUACCAAUCACACUGAGAAAUAUGAGAGCAGUCAAAAUAAUAAGCAGUAAGAUUUUGUACCAUUGGUAUGUUACUGUUUCAUUAUUAAGAAAUGACUCUCAUGUCUAAAUAUCUCCUGUUAUUCCACGUCUUCCACUCCACUCCCCAAUACCUUCAUUAGAGGCAGAACUUUCAAGUUCAAAUUACAGUUCUGACAUUUGAUAUCCUUAAUGGCUUCCAUCAACUCUAUUAAGUAUUUUUCUUGAUAUGUAUAGAAAAUAAUAUCUCUUCUCCUUUCCAGAAACUGUUUCCAAAGUACUUUGAGGAAAGGAGGAAAAAACACUGUGGUAGAGAAUGAUACAGCAUCAAACUACCUUCAUAUUCCACAUUUUUCAUUGCUGAAUAAAGAAAAUUCAUUAUUCUGAAGCUGUUAAGAGUAAAAUUGCUCAACUACAAAGAUAAUUAUUGUCAUCCUUCGCCUCAAAUUCACACACAAAGAUAAAUGAAGAGCAAAUAAAAAAGGUAAGUACUCUACAUUUUCAGAACCAUAAUAAUAUAAAGGAAAUGUAAAAUAAACUGAAUACAAUUUCUGCAUAAAGGCUAAAUUCCAUUACUACACGAGUUGCUGAAACAGCACAUUUUCAUAUAAAAUAAUUGUAACAGGUAGUGAAAAAUACACUGAAAUCUACUCAAAAGAAUACAAGUCACAUGGUAUCUAUACAGAUUCAAUAACUAACAGUGCAGUCUGCAUAAAGGACAACAGUUUCUCUUUCGCCAUCUCCCUGUUUUUUCUUUUCUCUUUACUGUUUUUAGGAUUAACUCAAUAGUAGAUUCAGCUACACCAGUAUUUUCAGAAGUUUCAGUGCCAAUGCCUUAAAAGGCAUGUAACAGCAGAAAGGUGAUGCCAAAGUGGUAGAGAGGGCACCACCACACAAUCUAUUUCUCAACUUGAUACCUCUGAUGUUGAUGACUUAAUAAUCACUGUCAUCAGACCAGCACCAUCUCAUUAUGCUUUCAGUGGCUACCCCGCACAUUUUAACAUGCAUAUCUGACUUAACAGUCUAAAGCAGCCGGGUGUGGUGGCCUGCACCAGUUGUCUCAGUUACUCGGGAGGCUGAGGCAGGAGGAUUGCUUGAGCCCAGGAGUUCAAGGCUGCAGUGAGCUAUGAUCACACCACUGCCCUCCAGCCUGGAAAACACAGCAAGGUCCUGUCUCUUAAAAACAAAAAGUCUAAAGUUCACCAGUUUCUCUCUCUUCCUUUCAAACAACAAAAGGACUAACAUUUCAACUAUCAACGUGCCUCUCCAGUUUUACAAGUUAUUGCUGCCCAGUAUUUCAGUUCUAAGGUAACAGGUAUUUUCUUUCAACUAUGUGAAGAUACUAUUUUAUCAAUCUAUUGUCAUUACUGUUCUUUGAACUUCUUGGGAAUCUAAUGCUGUUUGUUAUGUCUGCUGUUCUUGCUCAUGGUAGGUAUUUCCCUGUGUAUUUGGAGUGUGAGAUUAUCUUCAGUAGAGUUUGUUUUGAGAAUAUCAUGCCACUUGGGUUGAGGGUACAAACUUCAAGUUUGGUUUUAUAUUGAUUUCUAUAGCUACUCCAGCAUUAUCACCAACUGAAGACAAUUUUUUAUUUUAAUGCCCUGGCAUGAAGAUUCUUGAACUACACAGGAAACAUAAAUUCAAACUCUAGGCUCACUUAAGGGCCAACUGUGGCUGCAAAUUCUCAAUGAAGACUAUUUCUGUUUUGUCUCUAUCCUUAAGCCCAGGCUAAAGCAGAUAUACUUCUACACUUCUUUGUAAAUUCUCUAUGCUGGCUAGCUCAAUUUUCUGUUUGUUUGCUUAUUUUCUAAUUGGCCCUUUCAUUAAGGGUGUAGUCCUUGACCAGUUCUAGCUUUGUGUGUAUAUCUGUGCAUGCAUUUCAGGGGAUAUCUUGAUUCUAAUUCAUUCUGCUACGUCUAUUCUCAUGUCAUCUCAUUGCUGUUAAAAUCUCUGGUUUCAAAAACUGGAAAAUCGCCCUCCAGCUUCCCUACCCUACACCCUGAGAAUCCUCAGCAUCACACCAACUGUCCAUAUCACUCUGGUGUUUGGUUCCUUCUUCAUUUCUAGCACCUGGAACUUCUCCUACUUUCUAGUGAAUUCAACAACGUAUUUAAAAGAAUCUUAUAAUAUUUUAAGUAUUAUUUUUAGAUGUUUUGCAGAAAGAGUGUUUUCAAAUUACCUAGUCUGACAUAUUGCUUUUAACAGUAUUGUCAUUAAAUCCUUUCAACAAUAUAAGGCAGAGUAUUUUUUUAUAGAUGAGGAAACUGAAGUUCAGAAAAGUUAAAGAUUCACUAUUAAUCAAGUUCAUAGUCGUAAUUACAUUAUUCAUAUAAAUAUUUAACUGUUCAUCUUUUUCUCUAGAUUUUCAACUCCAUAAAAAAAUAAAUCAAUGUUUGUUUUCAUUAUUCUCAAGAACUAGCAAAGUGCCUAACUCAUAUUAGGCAGUCAAUAAAUAUUUGUUAAAAAAUAAUAAUUUACUCAUUAAUGGCUAGUAAAUGGUAGGGCCAGGAUUAGAAUCCAGGUUUUCUGAAUCAUGGUUCACUACCCUCAGUGACUGAAAUAAAUAGUGAUAUUAGCCAAUAAGAAACCUCAGGAGAGGAUCCAGCCUAAAGAAUACCUUUACAGCCACAGUUACUCAAGUCACUUGUUUGUCCACUCAAUUACUCAGUAUUUACUGAGUUCCUGUUAAAGGCACUGGGCUAAGUCCUGGGGGUAUAAGAGUAAGCAAUUUAAACAUAGCCUCUGACAUCACAGAGGUAGUAGAUACCAAUCAAAUAAUCACACAUAUACAUUUAUUUAAAAAUGUCUGAAUUUUUAAUUGACAAAUAUUUUAUGUAUUUACAGGAUACAAUGUGUUUUUGGUAUUAUACACUGUGGGAUGAAUAUAUCAAGACAUGAAAGCCAUUUGCAGCAAAGACUGAACCAACCAACAUUUAAAUAAAAUCUGAGAACAAGGCCAUUUCUAAAAUAAGAUACAAAACCAGGUGAAAGGCCAGUAUUGCUCUGAGAAGAGACCAGGAGAAAAAGAAAACACUCGGCACUAAGAAUCAUUCUUGUGCCAAACUAUGAAGAGAGGAAAGCUAUAUAAGGAAAAUCCAUGAGCUUGGAGUUAAUGUUUAGUAUAACAAAAGUACAUUCAAUACACAUCAACCUAGAUAGCUACAAAAAUGGCUCUUUGGAAAAUAAAAAGCAAAAUUGAAAAAAAAAAAAAAAAAAAAGGUUCUACAAAGUUCACUUUCUCCCGUGUAUGGAGUUUUAUGAAGCCCUCAAGAUGGCAAAUAGAUUAAUAUAAAGUGGUCACUGAUUGCCUGGCCAUUUAUUCUUUCUGGCCCUGAAAUUUCACAGUGAAUCUUAACAUUUUGAAAGAACAGAGGAACUGCUAUUCUUUAGUUUGGGAAGAACUUAUUCAGCAUAAGACUGAUCAGCAACUUUCACUACACCCUUCCCAAACCACCCCCAACCUCCAUAUCACUUCUUUACUGUUAGUUUAGUAAAAGUUCAUUGACCUUAAGUGAACUCCCAGAAAACUAUUAAACUGGAUUUUAAAAGUU
Molecule: long non-coding RNA, 3694 nt
Filed under: Homo sapiens (human)
Lineage: Eukaryota; Metazoa; Chordata; Mammalia; Primates; Hominidae
Description: HSALNT0364011
Source: RNAcentral